RNAcentral lists this unclassified non-coding RNA (345 nucleotides) under soil metagenome. RNAcentral's name for it is "partial contains 5.8S ribosomal RNA, internal transcribed spacer 2, and large subunit ribosomal RNA". The stretch from base 1 to 121 matches the Rfam family "5.8S ribosomal RNA", at positions 35 to 154 of the family's 154-position model. The record is from RNAcentral.
GAUGAAGAACGCAGCGAAAUGCGAUAAGUAAUGCGAAUUGCAGAAUUUCCGUGAGUCAUCGAAUCUUUGAACGAACAUUGCGCCCACUGGUAUUCCGGUGGGCAUGCCUGUUCGAGCGUCAUUAUCCUCCCUCAAACCUCGGGUUUGGUGUUGGACCCAAGUUGUGUGAACAACUGGUCUUAAAGACAAUGACGGCGUCCGUGGGACCCUCGGUGCAACGAGCUUUUAGGAGCACGCGUGGAGUUUCAAGGACCUUCCGGGCCGGUCUCCUUUACCAUUUUACAAGGUUGACCUCGGAUCAGGUAGGAAUACCCGCUGAACUUAAGCAUAUCAAUAAGCGGAGGA